AGAUUCAAUGUUGAUUGAAUACUUUAAAGGAUUGCUGUUCUUUCCUGUGAUGCCGUGCUGAAGUAACUAUCCUAAGCAGCAGAGCUCUGCAGAGGUUGAUAGAGAUGGUGGUGUCUUUGGAUGAAAGACACGUCGGGUGGAGGAUUCAAGGAAGCAUAUCAAGCGUGCAGCUGAGAUUCUUUGCCACCAACUUUUCAAGAACCAGUUGGGGUUCCUUUUUUACCUUAGAGUUAACUUAUCGUCGUGCAUCAAAGGCAUGUUAGAGGU
Long non-coding RNA from Rosa rugosa (rugosa rose), 267 nucleotides. RefSeq lists it as uncharacterized. NCBI's taxonomy places the organism in Eukaryota, Viridiplantae, Streptophyta, Magnoliopsida, Rosales, Rosaceae. The record is from RefSeq and is a predicted model, not a curated record. The transcript has 3 exons.